This 311-nucleotide long non-coding RNA is filed under the name Elaeis guineensis (African oil palm). RNAcentral describes it as "long non-coding RNA (EGUI_LNC060733)". The record is from RNAcentral. Lineage: Eukaryota; Viridiplantae; Streptophyta; Magnoliopsida; Arecales; Arecaceae.
CAGGGAAGUUUUCAUUGUUUAUUCUCUCCACCGUUUUACUUUCUUCCACCAAAAUCAAGCCACUCCAUCAUUUCCCAUUAAAAUAAUCUCCCACUUCCAUUCACCAGAGGAGCUUUUUCUUUGUUUAUUCUAUGAUUUCCAUUAUUUAAUCCACCACUACAUCCCAUCUUCAUCAUUUACAUACUCCACCACACCAACAUUUCCAUCAUCCAUCCAUUAUAAAAUUUCUUUUCCACCUCCAUCACUUCCCUUCUUCCAUUAAAAUAUUCAUCCCAUUCUCUUUUCCACAUAUUCCUCCAUAGAAGUCCCAC